Long non-coding RNA from Gymnogyps californianus (California condor), 838 nucleotides. RefSeq lists it as uncharacterized. NCBI's taxonomy places the organism in Eukaryota, Metazoa, Chordata, Aves, Accipitriformes, Cathartidae. The transcript is spliced from 3 exons. The record is from RefSeq and is a predicted model, not a curated record.
CAGAAAGGAGAACACAAUCUGCUUUUUGAAGUUCAAUUUUUUUGAAGUUCAUCCAUAGUCGAAACAACCACGUGGUAGACAGAUUGAAGACUGUCUCCAGAGCCAUAAAUUAUUCCUUGUGAACAGAAUUCUUGGAAACAUCCUUGAGGAAAUGUUUUGGACUGUACAGUGAAGUGACUGGACAGCAAAAAAUGCAGAAUUCCAGCUCUUGAAAUGCAACGAUAAUGACAAACGCAGCUAGAGUCAUCUCAGCAGAGACUGAAUCAGAAAAAAAAAAUCAUUCUGUGUAGUUUGUUAGUAAGCAAUUAGAAAGAAAAUCAACAUCCAGACAUGAUUCCAGAACCAUUUCCUUCUCUAAAAGCAUUUAAUAUAUACUUUCUGAACAGCAUAUUGACAGGCACCUGGAUCAUUGUAUUGGAUUUGUACAGCCAUAAAGUCAUAUGUAGACAACAUACAUUAUCUUUCUCACAUCCAAACUCCAGUGAAGAAAAGUGAAUGGAUUAAUAUUUCUCCUUUCCUGCUCUGACAUUCAAAUUAACUAAGAUCAAACUAGCUUUAUAUUUUAGAAAGGAGCAAACUGCACAAUUUGUUAUAAAGAUAGACCGGUUUGGAUUGAUUUAGUGUUGUUAGAGCUAUAUCCUAGUGAGAAAAUGAAGAUUGCCUUUAUUCUGGUCAGCAAAAUUAAAAAAAUAUAUAGUUUUUACAGUUAAUUAUAUACGGUCUUUUUUUCCCAACAAAACUCAACUCAGCUCCAUUUCUUUGCUAUUUAAGCCAUUAUCAAUGGUGACUUUGUUCUGUUUGUCAUCAGCAACAAGCUGGGAACCAUCUGAAUGCAACU